Molecule: ribosomal RNA, 347 nt
Filed under: uncultured bacterium
Lineage: Bacteria
Description: bacterial SSU rRNA
Rfam family: Bacterial small subunit ribosomal RNA
Source: RNAcentral
GGGCCCGCACAAGCGGUGGAGCAUGUGGUUUAAUUCGAUGAUACGCGAGGAACCUUACCAGGGCUUAAAUGUAAGUUGCAUAAAUCAGAGAUGAUUUUUUCUUCGGACUCAUUACAAGGUGCUGCAUGGUUGUCGUCAGCUCGUGCCGUGAGGUGUCAGGUUAAGUCCUAUAACGAGCGCAACCCCUGUCGUUAGUUACCAGCAAGUAAUGUUGGGUACUCUAGCGAGACUGCCGGUGCAAACCGUGAGGAAGGUGGGGAUGACGUCAAAUCAUCACGGCCCUUACGUCCUGGCUACACACGUGCUACAAUGGCCGGUACAGAGAGCAGCCACUACGCGAGUAGGAG